RNAcentral lists this unclassified non-coding RNA (343 nucleotides) under soil metagenome. Its description in RNAcentral is "partial contains 5.8S ribosomal RNA, internal transcribed spacer 2, and large subunit ribosomal RNA". The stretch from base 1 to 120 matches the Rfam family "5.8S ribosomal RNA", at positions 35 to 154 of the family's 154-position model. The record is from RNAcentral.
GAUGAAGAACGCAGCGAAAUGCGAUAAGUAGUGUGAAUUGCAGAAUUCAGUGAAUCAUCGAAUCUUUGAACGCACAUUGCGCCCUCUGGUAUUCCGGAGGGCAUGCCUGUUCGAGCGUCAUUUCAACCCUCAAGCCCCCGGGCUUGGUGUUGGGGAUCGGCGAGCCUCCGCGCCCGCCGUCCCCUAAAUCUAGUGGCGGUCUCGCUGUAGCUUCCUCUGCGUAGUAGCACACCUCGCACUGGGAAACAGCGCGGCCACGCCGUUAAACCCCCAACUUCUGAACGUUUGACCUCGGAUCAGGUAGGAAUACCCGCUGAACUUAAGCAUAUCAAUAAGCGGAGGA